Long non-coding RNA from Hypanus sabinus (Atlantic stingray), 2827 nucleotides. RefSeq lists it as uncharacterized. The record is from RefSeq and is a predicted model, not a curated record. NCBI's taxonomy places the organism in Eukaryota, Metazoa, Chordata, Chondrichthyes, Myliobatiformes, Dasyatidae. The transcript has 3 exons.
CAUUCCCCUCCCCCCCACCCCACACAGCAUCACCUACAGAUUUAAUUUCUUGAAUAUGCCUCGAAACGUGGUUCGGUUUGCUCAUAUUUUGCUUUUCCACUUUAUGCCCCAAAUUAGUGGCCUGUGCUUCUGUUUGGGAGGAGUGCUGGCAGUUUGCUCACAAUUCAUUCAAGAAGUUAUCUGCGGCAGUUUUACAUGAUGUAAAAUGUUAAAAUAGCUGAUUUUUAAAUUCAGUAAUUCUACUUAACAGCUAUGGGGUUUUUUUUCUCAUCAAUGCCCAUUGAUAGCAAUUUCAUUUCCACAACAGUUUGGUGGUUAAAAUUGAACAUACCUAUUUAGAUUGCACUACAGUUACCUCUUAAAUGUUAAUAUUUGUAUGUUCACAUCACUUCAGCUUAUCAAUAUUGAACUGUGGAUUUUAAAAAUGAGAAUGAUUGUACAGAGGAAAUAUACUGAUUCCACAUCAGGCAGUAUGCAUAGAGAGUCAGAAAAGCUCUCUUGCAAGCUGGACCUUUCUGCUUGCUAUCAAAUGCACUGUUAAUUUUAGUGGGAUUACUUUGAAACCAUAACAUUAAAAUAAAGUUGAAGCGAGUUAACCAGGGGUAGUUAAAUGCAAAUAUUGCACUAAAUAUAUGGACACAGUUUAAAGAGAGACUCUUAAUGUUUAGUUGGUCGUUUGGAGCAUUAAUGGACCUUUUGUCCUGAUCUAGGAACAUUUUGUACUUGUGUUUGAGAUUAUCAAGGCGGGUAAGUCCAUGACUACUAAACCAGGUCUCAAAACAAUGAAGUUGACAUUGUGGAGCAGAAAGUCAGUGUAGGUGAAAGGCCACAGCAUGCCAUGAAUAGGAAACGUUACAGGAGGUGAACUCGAACGAAAUCAAGAUACAAGAAAAGUUGCGCAAAAUACUAAACGAAGGUUAUUAAUUGCACACAUCUCCAGUAGCCCUAGAGCAGAACAGCAGGCUAUUUUGGAUUGAGCUUCUCAACACAUCAUUGCUGUCUACUGAUCUGAUAAAAGGCUUCUGAACCUACUCCCCGAUGGCAGUAACAUGAAGAGGGCAUGUCCUGGAUGAUGAAGGUCCUUAAUGAUGGAUGCUGCCUUCUUGAAGCAUCACCUUUUGAAGAUGACUUGAUGGCGGUGAGGGUUGUGCAUGUGGUGGAACUAACUGAGUCCACGACCCUCUGCAGCUUGUGAUACUGUGCAUUGGAGACAAGACGACAAUGUAACCAGUCAGAAUGAUCUCUACUGUACAUGUAGAAAUUAGCAAGAGUCUUUGACAUACCAAAUCUCCUCAAACUCCUAAUGAAGUAUGGCUGCUAGCUUGCCGCCUUUGUAAUUAGAUCUAAUGUAUUAGGUGAAUAUAGAUCCUCUGAGUGGUGCAGGUACCUGAAGCUGCUCGCCCUUUUCAUUGACGUCAAUGAGGACCGGGGUGUGUUCUCCUGACUUCCCCCUGAAGUCCACAUUCAGUUCCUUGGUCUUGCUGAUGUUAAUUGUGAGGCUGUUGUGAUGCCAAUCAACCAGUUGACCUUACUCUUCCCUGUGUGCCUUCUCAUUGCCAUUUGAGAUUCUGCCCACAACAGUUGUGUUAUCAGUGAAUUUCUAGAUGGUGUGGGGCUGUGCCUAGCCACACAGUUAUGACUGAAGAUAGUAGAGCAGUGGGUUAAGUAAACAUCCUGGAUGUGUGCCUGCGUUGGUUGUCAGUGAGAAGGAGAUGGUGUUACUGUCUGCACAGACUGGAGUCUUCUAAUGAGGAAGUCAAGGAUUCACUUGUAGGAUGAGUACAAAGACCAGGUUUUGCAGCUUGUUAAUUAGGAGUUGGGGGGGGGGGGGUGCUGAAUUUCUACAGAUGCACAGUAGAGAGCACUGACUGAAACUUUGAAGGUAGUAGAUUUUUGGGAUUCUGUGCUUGAGGCCUGUGUAAUUCCACGAGUAUUUCCAAACUGAUUUGUGGGUGUUUCGUUAUUAAGGGAAUCAAUGGACGUUGUGUUAGUAUAACAAAGGGAUUGGUGGGGAAGAGGUUUGGAGAAAUCACUCACAAUAUUGAACAAUAGGACAGACACAACGUUAUUUGAAUUCUGUAGCAUUAAUUUAGUUGCAAAACCUGAAUCCAAACAUGAGAUGGAAGGAAUGGAGAAAAACAAGCAGAAUUGAUAAUUGGGGUGAAGUGAUGCUUGUGGAUUAUACAUAGGCCUGGUUAACUCAACUGGCCUUUAACUGUGCCUUGCUUUUUAUGUAAUUUUUCUCUCAAGAAAAUUGAAGAGUUCUAUUCAUAUUGGAACCAAACUGUCAUUGAAUACACUCAAUACACCUGAAUGGAGGAAUGUUUAAUUCAAGUUGUUUUGAUAUGUCUUACUACUGUUGAUCAUGAUUUCACAGUUCUCCCAUGCCCUUGGAUACUGUGAAAUGAGUGCUAAUUUUACUUCUCUUUGUUAGUAGUAAAUUGAAUUUGCUAAAUACCUGUACAGUGAUUUGAAUGCUUGCCAGAUCAGUUCUGGAAAUCUUUGAUGUAUCUGAUUUGAUCAGCUUAUUUACAAAUUCUAGCUAUGUAGAAUAGGAACCAAUUAGGAUGUUUAGAAACUAUAGAUCAUCGUUGAGAAGGGUUCUUUUAAUGACUAGUCCUGUCCAUGCAUAUUGUAAAGAAUUAUGUACAAGUUGGUGGUUGCAAUAUUUUGAGUAUAUGGCAGCAGAAAUGAAACUGCCCAAAUGUAAAUCGUGUAAGCAAUAAACAUCAACAUUGUAUUCUCUUUUUGUAUUUAUUGCUUAAUUUAAAUUCCACUGGUUUAUGGCAAUAUCAUGAAUUUUUAGAGUCAAUAAUAUCAGAUUCUU